UCGCUGGUGAGGGCGUUGUUGUACAUAGUAGCACAGUGCGCCGGUGCAAUCUCCGGUGCUGGGUUGGCGAAGGCGUUCCAAAAAUCCUUCUACAACAGGUACGGUGGAGGAGCCAACACUGUGAGCGAUGGCUACAACAAAGGCACUGCCUUGGGUGCUGAAAUCAUCGGUACCUUUGUUCUUGUCUACACAGUUUUCUCCGCCACCGAUCCUAAGAGAAACGCUAGGGACUCUCAUGUUCCUGUAAGCACACCAUCUCUUACCUUCUUCAUCGUUCAAUUUAAUUUACUAUUUUUCCUUUUCUUUCUUACUUACUUACUUC
Molecule: long non-coding RNA, 322 nt
Filed under: Phaseolus vulgaris (common bean)
Lineage: Eukaryota; Viridiplantae; Streptophyta; Magnoliopsida; Fabales; Fabaceae
Description: long non-coding RNA (PVUL_LNC003174)
Source: RNAcentral